GCUGAGGGGGCAACUGGGAGCACUGGGAGCAACUGGGGGGGCAACUGGGAGCGGCUGGGGGGCAACUGGGAGCACUGGGGGGCAACUGGUCCUUACUGGUCCUUACUGGUUGUUAGUAGGUCUUAUUGGUCCUUACUGGUUGUUAGUAGUUCUUAGUGGUCCUUACUGGUUCUUAUUGGUGUUACUGGUCCUUACUGGUCCUUACUGGUGUUACUGGUGUUACUGGUGCUACUGGUCCUUACUGGUGUUAUUGGUCCUUACUGGUGUUACUGGUGCUACUGGUCCUUACUGGUGCUACUGGUCCUUACUGGUCCUUACUGGUGUUGCCGGUGCCCGCUUGCAGCGCCGCCAGCAGCAGCCGCCACAACCCGGUGCAGCUGUGGGACGCCUACGACGGCCGCGUCAGGGGCAGCUUCCGGGCCCACAACCACCUGGUGAG
This 439-nucleotide long non-coding RNA is filed under the name Phasianus colchicus (ring-necked pheasant). RNAcentral's name for it is "lncRNA (ENSPCLG00000020108.1)". The record is from RNAcentral. Lineage: Eukaryota; Metazoa; Chordata; Aves; Galliformes; Phasianidae.